RNAcentral lists this transfer RNA (65 nucleotides) under Heterocephalus glaber (naked mole-rat). It matches the Rfam family "tRNA". From Rfam's summary of the family: Transfer RNA (tRNA) molecules are approximately 80 nucleotides in length. Their secondary structure includes four short double-helical elements and three loops (D, anti-codon, and T loops). The record is from Rfam by way of RNAcentral. Lineage: Eukaryota; Metazoa; Chordata; Mammalia; Rodentia; Bathyergidae.
GGUGUAGUUCAGUGUUAGAACACCUGCCUACAAUGUACAAGACCCUGGGUUCAAUCCCUAGCACC